UACGUAGGGUGCAAGCGUUGUCCGGAAUUAUUGGGCGUAAAGAGCUCGUAGGCGGUUUGUCGCGUCUGGUGUGAAAAUCCAGGGCUUAACCCUGGACCUGCAUCGGGUACGGGCAGACUAGAGUGCGGUAGGGGAGAUCGGAAUUCCUGGUGUAGCGGUGAAAUGCGCAGAUAUCAGGAAGAACACCCGUGGCGAAAGCGGCUCUCUGGGACGGUACUGACGCUGAGACGCGAAAGCGUGGGGAGCGAACAGG
Molecule: ribosomal RNA, 253 nt
Filed under: uncultured bacterium
Lineage: Bacteria
Description: partial 16S ribosomal RNA
Rfam family: Bacterial small subunit ribosomal RNA
Source: RNAcentral